This 253-nucleotide ribosomal RNA is filed under the name uncultured bacterium. RNAcentral describes it as "partial 16S ribosomal RNA". It matches the Rfam family "Bacterial small subunit ribosomal RNA", at positions 524 to 776 of the family's 1533-position model. The record is from RNAcentral.
UACGGGGGGGGCAAGCGUUGUUCGGAAUUACUGGGCGUAAAGGGCUCGUAGGCGGCCAACUAAGUCAGACGUGAAAUCCCCAGGCUUAACCUGGGAACUGCGUCUGAUACUGGAUGGCUUGAAUUCGGGAGAGGGAUGCAGAAUUCCAGGUGUAGCGGUGAAAUGCGUAGAUAUCUGGAGGAACACCGGUGGCGAAGGCGGGUCUCUGGGCCGAUAUCGACGCUGAGGAGCGAAAGCGUGGGGAGCGAACAGG